CUGGAAGUGGGGUGGACCUGGACCUUUUUGGUCCACAACUUCAUGCUGCUCAGGUCACCAGGAGGUUGGCAACAGUGUCUGGGCCCCCAGCCCCUGCCAGUAUCCACGCAGAGAACUGAAAGUAACCUCCGGCACCCACUACUUUUGCAGGAAAAGGGGUGUGGGAGAUGCUGACUUUGUGUUACCUCCCUGAAUGCUGCACAGAAGCCCCCCAGCCAAGCGCCUGCACUCAGCCCACAGCGCCUCCUGAGGGACACGGCCUGAGGCGGCGGGCAGGGGAGCAGGGCAGCCUGGCCAGAUGCUUCCCUGGGGCCUGUUUACACACAUCACAGAGCAGUGUUCAGUUCCAGAUGGGAGAAUGGCAAGCAGCCAGCACUUUUCCAGCCAGUCUUUUUUUUUUUUUUGUACCGGGGAUUGAACUUGGGUCCUUGCGCUUAGCAAGUCUUGAAAGAUAUUUUGAUGAAAGCAUGACCUUUUUUGCCUCCCAAAGCCUAGCCUUGCAUUAAACACUACUAAGAAAAAGGUUCCCAACUUUUAUACCAGCUUCCUCUUUCAAUCAGAGAAGGUAGAAGCUGAGUCACCCAUGCGAAACCCCCAGAAUCCCCUUGUGGAAGGUAAAACCCCUCCAUCCCCAACUCACAUGUGAAUGAUGACACCAGAGAAGUUAAAAAUGCUUCCUUUAUUACAUAAAGCCAGUAACUGCUACUUCUAAGACUGUGCAUUUCUCUUGUUCAAAUGUCAUGCCUGUGGUGUUAAGGACAAUCACAUCUGCGCAGUCACUAGGUACCAGCUCCCCACUCCACACAAGUGACACACUGCUCUAGGAAACAAAGUUCUCCUAGGCCCUGGAAGAAACACUCAAGUGUUCUUGCCAUCAUAUCAUACGGGGUGCUGCAGCUCUGAAGGAGACGCAGGUGUGAGAUGUCCUAGCCUACCUAGAUACUGCCGGUUGAAGCAUUUUCAUUAGAAAGCAGAGUACAGUUCCUGAGCGCUAAUUUGCAUUAGAAUUAGUCCCCAUCUUCUGAAGCCACACCACAAUUCCCAAGAUACAAGGUGAGAGCCUGCAGCCCCAGGUGCGGGGACAGCUGUGCCACUCGAGGCAGGCUUUGCAAGAUCAGGGUGAGUCACAGUAGAUGCGACUUCUGGGAGAACUAAAGGCUGCCUGAGACUCACUGCUGCUAGUGGGUUAGUGUGGGUACACGUUAGGGGAGGACAACCCAUUCUGUGUGGGUCAAGAAGAAUAAUUCUGGGCCAAAAUUAUAACCAGAUUGUAAUCAAUUUUCAAACAAAAGAAAGUAACUGCUGAGGUUAAUGAAAGACAGAAUGAUUCUCUUCAUAUGGCCUCUAUAUCUAUACUGUUUUGUGAACUGUUAUUAAAAAUCCUGAGCUUUAUUAAAAAUCCUGAGCUUUAACAAAAAUCUUUGUAAGUCAACUCAUCAAAACAGGCAUUUGGCCAGUAAGAAUUUCAUUUCACACCAAUUACACUUUGAUGCUAGGUUUAUUUAGGGCCGCGCCGUUUGCACAGGUUUAUAGAAUAUUUACUCAAAGAUGACAAGACAGCUCCCUCAGUGAGACCCUGGCAUAAAUGCAUCUGCUUUACUUAUGGAGCAAGAGGGUAACAUUAAACACAGAAGCUUUCGCUGUGGCACUGGAACGACACUACACGGGCACCCUUCAAGGCUACAAUCAAGGACCCACCCAGCUUUUCGGCAAUACAAGCUCGCUUGAGGUCUUCCGCCCAUUUGCUUGACAUUCGUGUUUGAUGCCUGAAAGGAAAAACAAUUCUAUUUAAAAUUAUGGCAGCAGCUUAUCUAUUUCUUUACAGUACUAUGUUUUUAAAGCUCAUGUCUAUAAACAGUGUUAUUUACAACCUUGCAAUACUACACAGAAAUGAGAAAUAUUAAUUGGUA
Heterocephalus glaber (naked mole-rat) is the source of this 1910-nucleotide long non-coding RNA. Lineage: Eukaryota; Metazoa; Chordata; Mammalia; Rodentia; Bathyergidae. The record is from Ensembl.